RNAcentral lists this ribosomal RNA (465 nucleotides) under uncultured Klebsiella sp. Its description in RNAcentral is "bacterial SSU rRNA". It matches the Rfam family "Bacterial small subunit ribosomal RNA", at positions 338 to 795 of the family's 1533-position model. The record is from RNAcentral. Lineage: Bacteria; Pseudomonadati; Pseudomonadota; Gammaproteobacteria; Enterobacterales; Enterobacteriaceae.
CCUACGGGUGGCUGCAGUGGGGAAUAUUGCACAAUGGGCGCAAGCCUGAUGCAGCCAUGCCGCGUGUGUGAAGAAGGCCUUCGGGUUGUAAAGCACUUUCAGCGGGGAGGAAGGCGGUGAGGUUAAUAACCUCAUCGAUUGACGUUACCCGCAGAAGAAGCACCGGCUAACUCCGUGCCAGCAGCCGCGGUAAUACGGAGGGUGCAAGCGUUAAUCGGAAUUACUGGGCGUAAAGCGCACGCAGGCGGUCUGUCAAGUCGGAUGUGAAAUCCCCGGGCUCAACCCGGGAACUGCAUUCGAAACUGGCAGGCUAGAGGCUUGUAGAGGGGGGUAGAAUUCCAGGUGUAGCGGUGAAAUGCGUAGAGAUCUGGAGGAAUACCGGUGGCGAAGGCGGCCCCCUGGACAAAGACUGACGCUCAGGUGCGAAAGCGUGGGGAGCAAACAGGAUUAGAUACCCGAGUAGUC